Molecule: transfer RNA, 91 nt
Filed under: Fusarium pseudograminearum CS5834
Lineage: Eukaryota; Fungi; Ascomycota; Sordariomycetes; Hypocreales; Nectriaceae
Description: tRNA-Leu
Source: RNAcentral
UUGACCGUGCAGCCAUGGAACCAAGUCAUUGAUCGUCGACUCCAUCAGCUUCCACACCUCGGGUGGAUAAUUUCCAUUAAUCCAAUAAUCA